Molecule: ribosomal RNA, 489 nt
Filed under: uncultured bacterium
Lineage: Bacteria
Description: partial 16S ribosomal RNA
Rfam family: Bacterial small subunit ribosomal RNA
Source: RNAcentral
AUUGAACGCUGGCGGCAGGCCUAACACAUGCAAGUCGAACGGUAACAGGAAGAAGCUUGCUUCUUUGCUGACGAGUGGCGGACGGGUGAGUAAUGUCUGGGAAACUGCCUGAUGGAGGGGGAUAACUACUGGAAACGGUAGCUAAUACCGCAUAACGUCGCAAGACCAAAGAGGGGGACCUUCGGGCCUCUUGCCAUCGGAUGUUCCCAGAUGGGAUUAGCUAGUAGGUGGGGUAACGGCUCACCUAGGCGACGAUCCCUAGCUGGUCUGAGAGGAUGACCAGCCACACUGGAACUGAGACACGGUCCAGACUCCUACGGGAGGCAGCAGUGGGGAAUAUUGCACAAUGGGCGCAAGCCUGAUGCAGCCAUGCCGCGUGUAUGAAGAAGGCCUUCGGGUUGUAAAGUACUUUCAGCGGGGAGGAAGGGAGUAAAGUUAAUACCUGUGCUCAUUGACGUUACCCGCAGAAGAAGCACCGGCUAACUCCGU